RNAcentral lists this ribosomal RNA (506 nucleotides) under uncultured bacterium. RNAcentral describes it as "partial 16S ribosomal RNA". It matches the Rfam family "Bacterial small subunit ribosomal RNA", at positions 28 to 523 of the family's 1533-position model. The record is from RNAcentral.
GGUGAACGCUGGCGGUAGGCCUAACACAUGCAAGUCGAACGGCAGCACAGGAGAGCUUGCUCUCUGGGUGGCGAGUGGCGGACGGGUGAGGAAUACAUCGGAAUCUACUCUGUCGUGGGGGAUAACGUAGGGAAACUUACGCUAAUACCGCAUACGACCUACGGGUGAAAGCAGGGGACCUUCGGGCCUUGCGCGAUUGAAUGAGCCGAUGUCGGAUUAGCUAGUUGGCGGGGUAAAGGCCCACCAAGGCGACGAUCCGUAGCUGGUCUGAGAGAAUGACCAGCCACACUGGAACUGAGACACGGUCCAGGCUCCUACGGGAGGCAGCAGUGGGGAGUAUUGGACAAUGGGCGCAAGCCUGAUCCAGCCAUACCGCGUGGGUGAAGAAGGCCUUCGGGUUGUAAAGCCCUUUUGUUGGGAAAGAAAUCCAGCUGGCUAAUACCCGGUUGGGAUGACGGUACCCAAAGAAUAAGCACCGGCUAACUUCGUGCCAGCCGCCGCCGUAA